RNAcentral lists this ribosomal RNA (332 nucleotides) under uncultured bacterium. RNAcentral describes it as "bacterial SSU rRNA". It matches the Rfam family "Bacterial small subunit ribosomal RNA", at positions 568 to 898 of the family's 1533-position model. The record is from RNAcentral.
CGUGUAGGCGGUCUGAUUAGUCUGAUGUGAAAGCCCUGGGCUCAACCCAGGAAGUGCAUUGGAUACUGUCAGACUUGAAUACGGGAGAGGGUAGUGGAAUUCCUAGUGUAGGAGUGAAAUCCGUAGAUAUUAGGAGGAACACCGGUGGCGAAGGCGGCUACCCGGACCGAUAUUGACGCUGAGACGCGAAAGCGUGGGUAGCAAACAGGAUUAGAUACCCUGGUAGUCCACGCCGUAAACGAUGAGUACUAGGUGUUGCGGGUAUUGACCCCUGCAGUGCCGCAGCUAACGCAUUAAGUACUCCGCCUGGGAAGUACGGUCGCAAGACUAAA